Molecule: non-coding RNA, 265 nt
Filed under: Barbarea vulgaris (winter cress)
Lineage: Eukaryota; Viridiplantae; Streptophyta; Magnoliopsida; Brassicales; Brassicaceae
Source: RNAcentral
UAAUGGGGUGGGACCCAGGAGAUGAGUCUGCUUAUUGUUUACUAAACCCUGAACCCUCCCAUAUUUACGAUGGGAUAUAAUUAAUGGGGGUGUUUGGCCGGCGUUUCCCCCGAAAAAUAAUUAAAAAACGUCGAUGGUUACAUAAGAGGCUCGUCUCCAAAGUAGUGUUUCAAUGGGUUGGGUUGGUUCGAAGGUGGUUCUGUUGAAACUAGAUUAGUGUCUGCGGUUAACCGUUUCCUCGCCUUCCCUCCCACCCCCAAAUUUU